Molecule: transfer RNA, 78 nt
Filed under: Candidatus Woesearchaeota archaeon
Lineage: Archaea; Nanobdellati; Candidatus Woesearchaeota
Description: tRNA-Glu
Rfam family: tRNA
About the family: Transfer RNA (tRNA) molecules are approximately 80 nucleotides in length. Their secondary structure includes four short double-helical elements and three loops (D, anti-codon, and T loops).
Source: RNAcentral
GCCCCUGUGGUGUAGCCCGGUCAAUCAUUCCGGAUUUUCGAUCCGAAGACUCGAGUUCAAAUCUCGGCAGGGGCGCCA